RNAcentral lists this non-coding RNA (28 nucleotides) under Rattus norvegicus (Norway rat). The record is from RNAcentral. Lineage: Eukaryota; Metazoa; Chordata; Mammalia; Rodentia; Muridae.
GAAGGAUCAGAAAAGGACAUUUGAAGGU